Lottia gigantea (owl limpet) is the source of this 36-nucleotide non-coding RNA. The record is from Rfam. Lineage: Eukaryota; Metazoa; Mollusca; Gastropoda; Lottiidae.
AAAACGGCCCUUUUCAGGGCCACCCAAAAUCUCAAA